GGAAGGCGAAGCCGCGAGGCAGAGCGAACCCCAAAAAGACCGUCCCAGUUCGGAUCGCAGGCUGCAACCCGCCUGCGUGAAGUCGGAAUCGCUAGUAAUCGCGGAUCAGCAUGCCGCGGUGAAUACGUUCCCGGGCCUUGUACACACCGCCCGUCACACCAUGAGAGUCGGGAACACCCGAAGUCCGUAGCCUAACAGCAAUGAGGGCGCGGCCGAAGGUGGGUUCGAUAAUUGGGGUGAAGUCGUAACAAGGUAUC
RNAcentral lists this ribosomal RNA (257 nucleotides) under uncultured bacterium. RNAcentral's name for it is "partial 16S ribosomal RNA". It matches the Rfam family "Bacterial small subunit ribosomal RNA", at positions 1244 to 1500 of the family's 1533-position model. The record is from RNAcentral.